GAGUUUGAUCCUGGCUCAGAACGAACGCUGGCGGCAUGCCUAACACAUGCAAGUCGAGCGCCUGUAGCAAUACAGGAGCGGCGCACGGGUGAGUAACGCGUGGGAACCUGCCUUGAGGUUCGGGACAACCGCGGGAAACUGCGGCUGAUACCGGAUGAUGUCUGAGGACCAAAGAUUUAUCGCCUUGAGAGGGGCCCGCGUCGGAUUAGGUAGUUGGUGAGGUAACGGCUCACCAAGCCUGCGAUCCGUAGCUGGUCUGAGAGGAUGGCCAGCCACACUGGGACUGAGACACGGCCCAGACUCCUACGGGAGGCAGCAGUGGGGAGUAUUGGACAAUGGGGGCAACCCUGAUCCAGCAAUGCCGCGUGGGUGAUGAAGGCCUUCGGUUGUAA
This 392-nucleotide ribosomal RNA is filed under the name uncultured Alphaproteobacteria bacterium. RNAcentral's name for it is "bacterial SSU rRNA". It matches the Rfam family "Bacterial small subunit ribosomal RNA", at positions 9 to 428 of the family's 1533-position model. The record is from RNAcentral. Lineage: Bacteria; Pseudomonadati; Pseudomonadota; Alphaproteobacteria.